GACGAACGCUGGCGGCGUGCUUAACACAUGCAAGUCGAACGGUGAUGCUCCAGCUUGCUGGAGUGGAUCAGUGGCGAACGGGUGAGUAACACGUGAGCAACCUGCCCCAGACUCUGGAAUAAGCGCUGGAAACGGCGUCUAAUACUGGAUACGAAACUGGCCCGCAUGGGCAUGGUUUGGAAAGUUUUUCGGUUUGGGAUGGGCUCGCGGCCUAUCAGCUUGUUGGUGAGGUAAUGGCUCACCAAGGCGACGACGGGUAGCCGGCCUGAGAGGGCGACCGGCCACACUGGGACUGAGACACGGCCCAGACUCCUACGGGAGGCAGCAGUGGGGAAUAUUGCACAAUGGGCGAAAGCCUGAUGCAGCGACGCCGCGUGAGGGAUGACGGCCUUCGGGUUGUAAACCUCUUUCAGCAGGGAAGAUAAUGACGGUACCAGCAGAAGAAGCCCCGGCUAACUCCGUG
Molecule: ribosomal RNA, 463 nt
Filed under: uncultured bacterium
Lineage: Bacteria
Description: partial 16S ribosomal RNA
Rfam family: Bacterial small subunit ribosomal RNA
Source: RNAcentral